AAUUUCUGCAAGUAUUGAACCAUUUCUUCUUAAAGCUACACUUGCCUUUUUUCCUUCAACUCUUUUUAGUCCCUAAUACCAUUUUGAGGACUGUUAAUCCAUUGAAAAAAGGGUUCUUUUUUUGAUCUAAUCUUCUCAAGAUCAUGGGAAAUUGCAUAAAGCCAUCAACAAAACAAAGGCAACUUGAAGAGGAAGACAUGGAGCAGUACGAUCAUCAAGAUUAUCAAGAGAGAGAAUUGGAGGCUGAGUUUGGGAAGGAAAGUAAUGAGAAGGGUAGUCUUAAGGUUAAGAUAGUGCUUACAAAGGAGGAGCUGGAGUGGUUGAUGUUUCAGCUGAAGUUUAAUGAAGGGAAGAAGCUAGAAGAUGUU
RNAcentral lists this unclassified non-coding RNA (368 nucleotides) under Hevea brasiliensis (rubber tree). The record is from RNAcentral. Lineage: Eukaryota; Viridiplantae; Streptophyta; Magnoliopsida; Malpighiales; Euphorbiaceae.